RNAcentral lists this long non-coding RNA (451 nucleotides) under Meriones unguiculatus (Mongolian gerbil). RNAcentral describes it as "lncRNA (ENSMUGG00000020930.1)". The record is from RNAcentral. Lineage: Eukaryota; Metazoa; Chordata; Mammalia; Rodentia; Muridae.
CCCAGCAAUUGGAUUGGGCAGCCUGUCUUGACACAGCGCUGUGCUGAGUGCUUGAGGACGUGUUUCAACAGAUGGUUGGGGUUAGUGUGUGUCAUCACAUUCGAGUGGGGAUUAAGAGGAGGAAGGCUGCCCUGCUGGGGCUGUGUGGUCUUCUCUAAGUGAGAGUUGCAGGCAGAUCCAACUACUUGGCUUUGAGGGAAGAAGAGGAGGAAUUCAUUUGCAGCAGCCGCAAGAGAAGCAGUGUUUUCAGGUGCUGAGGGCCAGCCGCCAUCAGCUUGAGGGGGUGAAUCCGGCAAAUGACAUGAAGGUUCUUCACGGCAGAAUCACUGCAGGGAAGCUUCAAAGGACUCCAUCUGCAGAUGUUCUGAAAAUCUCUGAGUCUAGAAAUUGAUUAUUCAACCAGGAUACCUAACUCAAGAAACUCUGAAGACUGAGGCAUUUUGUCAGCUUC